UACGUAGGGGGCUAGCGUUGUCCGGAUUUAUUGGGCGUAAAGCGCGUGUAGGCGGCCAGAAAAGUCCGCUGUGAAAACUCGAGGCUCAACUUCGAGCUGUCGGUGGAAACUUUCUGGCUAGAGUCCGGAAGAGGAGAAUGGAAUUCCUGGUGUAGCGGUGAAAUGCGCAGAUAUCAAGAAGAACACCCGUGGCGAAGGCGGUUCUCUGGGACGGUACUGACGCUGAGACGCGAAAGCGUGGGGAGCGAACAGG
This 253-nucleotide ribosomal RNA is filed under the name uncultured bacterium. RNAcentral describes it as "partial 16S ribosomal RNA". It matches the Rfam family "Bacterial small subunit ribosomal RNA", at positions 524 to 776 of the family's 1533-position model. The record is from RNAcentral.